RNAcentral lists this ribosomal RNA (406 nucleotides) under uncultured bacterium. RNAcentral describes it as "bacterial SSU rRNA". It matches the Rfam family "Bacterial small subunit ribosomal RNA", at positions 29 to 483 of the family's 1533-position model. The record is from RNAcentral.
AACGAACGCUGGCGGCAGGCUUAACACAUGCAAGUCGAACGAUCUCUUCGGAGAUAGUGGCAGACGGGUGAGUAACGCGUGGGAACCUACCUUAUUCUACGGAAUAACACAGAGAAAUUUGUGCUAAAUACCGUAUACGCCCUUUGGGGAAAGAUUUAUCGGAGUAAGAUGGGCCCGCGUUGGAUUAGCUAGUUGGUGGGUAAUGGCCUACCAAGGCUACGAUCUAUAGCUGGUUUUAGAGGAUGAUCAGCAACACUGGGACUGAGACACGGCCCAGACUCCUACGGGAGGCAGCAGUGGGGAAUCUUGGACAAUGGGCGCAAGCCUGAUCCAGCCAUGCCGCGUGAGUGAUGAAGGCCUAGGGUGUAAAGCUCUUUCGCCAGGGAUGAUAAUGACAGUACCUGGU